This 406-nucleotide unclassified non-coding RNA is filed under the name Hevea brasiliensis (rubber tree). Lineage: Eukaryota; Viridiplantae; Streptophyta; Magnoliopsida; Malpighiales; Euphorbiaceae. The record is from RNAcentral.
CUUUUGGAUUUGAACUUUUUGAUAGGGAUUAAUAAAUUAAGUAAAAAUGGAAGCCAAGGUCACAAAGGUAUUGGAUAGUAGUAGUCGCAGAGUUAUGCUUGGUCUGAAGAGAAAACGAGCAUCCCGUUAUGCAGCAUAUUUUGCUGAAGCUUCCCGAAUUAUUUCACCUGAGUGGCCAACUGUGCAUUGUUCAACUUGUAAGUCUGGGAAACGGAGGAGACUAACUAGAAGCCGAAGAAAGGUUGUGAGCUGUGGGUAUCAUUUCAGAAGAUCUUUGCUUCGGUGUUAUUCAAAUUUUAAGAGGACUGGGGUGCCACAACGUCUUAUGUUUUAUCAGAGUGGCGAAUGGACUGAUUUUUCUCAAGAUCUUGUCGCUCUGGUUAGGAAGGAUCUUCAAGAGAAGAAA